GUGGGAGAUUAGUCUGGAGCCUCGGGCGUGCUGGUCGGAAAACCGGUAGGGCUUCCCCGAACGGGGGCCGUCCGGCCGCACGUAACCCGUGGCACCCGACGCAUUUGUCUCCCGCCCGAAGGACGCCGCAGCCGGUUGGGUAGUGCAAGCGUGACGGCCAGAGGGGCGGACGAUGGCAGGUGGCCGGUGGGGGGUCUCGUACCCUCCGCCGGUUGUUAGCCGGUCCGUCAGUGGCCCGUCACCCGACCGAGGUGUCACUAGGCCCUUCGGGGCCUCUACGUUUCCUCCUGGAAGUCGGGACUGGGCGUCGCAGGCGAAUUCCGCCGCGUGGUCGCACUCUCGAGAGUGGACCUGCGAACGGAGCGCACCGUUGGCGGCGCCGGACCCGUCGGAGGCUGGAGGCUUGCGGCGAGUAGGUCGGUCACCCACCCGACCCGUCUUGAAACACGGACCAAGGAGUCUAACAUGUGCGCGAGUCAGUGGGUCUUGAACAGGCCCACGGGCGCAAUGAAAGCAAAGGUCGUCGCGACGGCNACCGAGUUGGGAUCCCGCCCCCCCNGGGGNNGGNNCANCAANCAACCNUNCUANUCCGNUUNCCCGUUNGGCNGAAUNUUAACCUNNNNCUUUGGAACCCAAAAANNGUNAAAUNNUCCCNGAAAAGAACAAGCCNAAAGAAANUUUUGUNGAAGUNCCCAACNGUUNUUAACUUCAAAUUCAUUNU
RNAcentral lists this ribosomal RNA (721 nucleotides) under Beregama cordata. RNAcentral's name for it is "partial 28S ribosomal RNA". The record is from RNAcentral. Lineage: Eukaryota; Metazoa; Arthropoda; Arachnida; Araneae; Sparassidae.